Molecule: long non-coding RNA, 816 nt
Organism: Myxocyprinus asiaticus (Chinese sucker)
Lineage: Eukaryota; Metazoa; Chordata; Actinopteri; Cypriniformes; Catostomidae
Exons: 3
Source: RefSeq, a predicted model, not a curated record
UUAGCACUUAGCUAGGUGUUGUUAGCAUGUUUUAGCACUUAGCUAGGUGUUGUUAGGAUUUUAGCAUGAUGUUAGCAUUUCUCUAGCAUGUUUUAGCACUUAGCUAGGUGUUGUUAGCAUGUUUUAGCACUUAGCUAGGUGUUGUUAGCAUAUUUUAGCACUUAGCUAGGCAUUGCUAGCAUGUUUUAGCACUUAGCUAGGUGUUGUUAGCAUGUUUUAGCACUUAGCUAGGUGUUGUUAGCAUGUUUUAGCACUUAGCUAGGUGUUGUUAGGAUUUUAGCAUGAUGUUAGCAUUUCUCUAGCAUGUUUUAGCACUUAGCUAGGUGUUGUUAGCAUGUUUUAGCACUUAGCUAGGUGUUGUUAGCAUAUUUUAGCACUUAGCUAGGCAUUGCUAGCAUGUUUUAGCACUUAGCUAGGUGUUGUUAGCAUGUUUUAGCACUUAGCUAGGUGUUGUUAGCAUGUUUUAGCACUUAGCUAGGUGUUGUUAGGAUUUUAGCAUGAUGUUAGCAUUUCUCUAGCAUGUUUUAGCACUUAGCUAGGUGUUGUUAGCAUGUUUUAGCACUUAGCUAGGUGUUGUUAGCAUAUUUUAGCACUUAGCUAGGCAUUGCUAGCAUGUUUUAGCACUUAGCUAGGUGUUGUUAGCAUGUUUUAGCACUUAGCUAGGUGUUGUUAGCAUGUUUUAGCACUUAGCUAGGUGUUGUUAGGAUUUUAGCAUGAUGUUAGCAUUUCUCUAGCAUGUUUUAGCACUUAGCUAGGUGUUGUUAGCAUGUUUUAGCACUUAGCUAGGUGUUGUUAGCAUAUUUUAGCACUUAGCUA